GCCCGGGUGGUGAAAUUGGUAGACACGCUCGACUUAAGAUCGAGUUCCGUAAGGAAUGUGGGUUCGAGUCCCACCCUGGGCA
This 82-nucleotide transfer RNA is filed under the name Minisyncoccota bacterium. RNAcentral describes it as "tRNA-Leu". It matches the Rfam family "tRNA". From Rfam's summary of the family: Transfer RNA (tRNA) molecules are approximately 80 nucleotides in length. Their secondary structure includes four short double-helical elements and three loops (D, anti-codon, and T loops). Further hydrogen bonds mediate the characteristic L-shaped molecular structure. tRNAs have two regions of fundamental functional importance: the anti-codon, which is responsible for specific mRNA codon recognition, and the 3' end, to which the tRNAs corresponding amino acid is attached (by aminoacyl-tRNA synthetases). tRNAs cope with the degeneracy of the genetic code in two manners: having more than one tRNA (with a specific anti-codon) for a particular amino acid; and 'wobble' base-pairing, i.e. permitting non-standard base-pairing at the 3rd anti-codon position. The record is from RNAcentral. Lineage: Bacteria; Bacillati; Minisyncoccota.